AUCUUACGUUAAAACCUCGUCUCUCCGAGUAACCUAAUUGUAUCUUAAAUAAGGCUUGGUUAAUGGAAUCAAUGGCACAAUUAAGAACUUGAGAGGGAUGUGAGAAUUUCCAAUGUGAGCAUAGAGAUCGUAAGGAUCCAGAUUUUUAUAAAACCCAAAUCUUAUCCCUUAUGCAAAAUGAUCAGCCUUUUUUCCUAUUUGUGCAUACUUUAUUAGAAUUAUCUCGACUUUUUGGUGCUGGGUUUCUGAUGAGGAUCCCACUCUCCACUUAAUUACCUGCUUACUCUCAUCCCACCACUUAAAACCGGACCUAUUCUUCCUCUCUCUCUCUCUCUCUCUCCAAUCAUAUAUAAAUAAGACCACACUAGUACUCUCUCUCUCUUAUUCCUUAUCUUGUUAUUUUCUCUCAUCAGAAAACUUAUACCUGCGAUUUGGUUAAAUGGGAUGCGAGAACUUGUAACUAGUUAGCCAGCUUUCUACAGACAUGAGAAGAAGACUUUAUCCUUGCCCUGCAAGCAGAUUUUGCAGAAUUUGGACCAAAAAAGGCUCUGCAGGGUGCGCCUUCCUCUAGCUUGGUUAGAAAUGCUCCUUCUCAAGGUUAGUUUUUUUCAACUCUUUCCUGUAAACUAAAACAAGAGUGAAUUUUCCAUGCACAAUUAGAAGCGCACCUAAACCACUACACGGUGGUCUAGUGGUCCACACGGUGAAUCACACGAUGAUGGCUAGAGAUAGGUUGAAAUGCUUCUAUGUUCUUUUUUUUUUAAAUAAAUAAAUAAAAAUAAAAUAAAUUGAAGCCCACGUAUCUAAUGAGACCCUUUGCAUUCUUGGGCACCUUUGAUCUCCAACUCCAAGCAUAAAAUGGUCGUCAAUUAAUCAUCCACCGGCAUUUUAUUGGCUCCAGAAUUGACAAAUGACAUGGGUGGGGACUGAGUUGGGAUUUGCUAGGCUAUCUUAUGGACAGGAGUUCUAUAUUCAUAGUCCAUUUAUUGCUUCUAUAGCUCACAUCACAUGUGUGUAUUGUUGAGAUAUAAAUCUUUAGGGUAAUUCUCACUUUUCUAUCCUGAAGUAUAGUGAUUUUCAUACCUUCAUACAUAAGUUUUUUUUUAACUCAGUAUCAUAUCUAAAGUUACGUUUUUUGGUAAUUAUCACCACCAACUAUAGGACAUAUAGUUGGUGGUGUUGAAACCUUUGCGACUAAGGUACCAAGACCCACCAUGUUUUGUGUGACCAUUCCGGUCACUGCAACACUUUUCUUCUUUGGUAGGGAUAAAUCGAAGCAAUGCAGAACUGAAUCUCAAUGAAUCAUGAUAGCAAAGAUAGGAAGAUCCAUUGGUGUUGGUUCAAAUAGGAAUAAAAUAGGAAGAUUCAUGUCCUUGAACUCAAAAAACUCUUGUAUCUUGAUAGGUAAAAGUGGAAAACCAAACUUGCACAUAUAGAUCCAAAAGCAUACAAAUCUAUAUCUAGAAAGAAACCCAAUCGUAGAGGCACCAGAUAAUAAGAGAACAAAAUGCAUUUAUCAACUGGAAAGAAACAAAACUCUUCAAAUCGUAACAGGAAUACAAGUCAAGUAACUUGUAAUCCAAAACUACACAGAGCAAGAUGGCCGAGUUUACAAUCUGAGAGAGAGAGAGAGAGAGA
This is a non-coding RNA of Malus domestica (apple), 1638 nucleotides long. Lineage: Eukaryota; Viridiplantae; Streptophyta; Magnoliopsida; Rosales; Rosaceae. The record is from RefSeq and is a predicted model, not a curated record.